This 434-nucleotide ribosomal RNA is filed under the name uncultured bacterium. RNAcentral describes it as "partial 16S ribosomal RNA". It matches the Rfam family "Bacterial small subunit ribosomal RNA", at positions 29 to 507 of the family's 1533-position model. The record is from RNAcentral.
AGCGAACGCUGGCGGCAGGCCUAACACAUGCAAGUCGAACGAACCUUUCGGGGUUAGUGGCUGACGGGUGAGUAACACGUGGGAACGUGCCUUUAGGUUCGGAAUAACUCAGGGAAACUUGUUCUAAUACCGAAUGUGCCCUUCGGGGGAAAGAUUAAUCGCCUUUAGAGCGGCCCGCGUCUGAUUAGCUAGUUGGUUGAGGUAAUGGCUCACCAAGGCGACGAUCAGUAGCUGGUCUGAGAGGAUGAUCAGCCACAUUGGGACUGAGACACGGCCCAAACUCCUACGGGAGGCAGCAGUGGGGAAUCUUGCGCAAUGGGCGAAAGCCUGACGCAGCCAUGCCGCGUGAAUGAUGAAGGUCGUAGGAUUGGAAAAUUCUUUAACCGGGGACGAUAAUGACGGUACCCGGAGAAGAAGCCCCGGCUAACUUCGUG